GCCAGGGAUAGCUCAGUUAGUAGAGCACGAGACUCCUGAUUUCAGGGUUGUGGGUUUGAGCCCCACAUUGGGCA
Non-coding RNA from Podarcis lilfordi (Lilford's wall lizard), 74 nucleotides. Lineage: Eukaryota; Metazoa; Chordata; Lepidosauria; Squamata; Lacertidae. The record is from the annotation of a GenBank genome assembly.